This 195-nucleotide ribosomal RNA is filed under the name Triticum aestivum (bread wheat). RNAcentral describes it as "partial small subunit ribosomal RNA". Lineage: Eukaryota; Viridiplantae; Streptophyta; Magnoliopsida; Poales; Poaceae. The record is from RNAcentral.
GGGGCGGGGAAUCCCCGGACAGUUCAUGAUCUCAUGAGUCUUGUCCAGGCUCAUUCCCCUAGUAUCGUUUUUCUUUGUGAAACUAGGCAGCCAAAAAAUAAAAUGAAGAGGUACCGUGCUCGGUUAGGCUUAAGUGGUUUUGAUGCUUGUGAUAGCAUUGGUCGUAGUGGUGGCCUUGCUUUGUACUGGCAUGAG